RNAcentral lists this ribosomal RNA (435 nucleotides) under uncultured bacterium. RNAcentral's name for it is "partial 16S ribosomal RNA". It matches the Rfam family "Bacterial small subunit ribosomal RNA", at positions 27 to 507 of the family's 1533-position model. The record is from RNAcentral.
GAGCGAACGCUGGCGGCAGGCCUACCACAUGCAAGUCGAACGAACCUUUCGGGGUUCGUGGCGGACGGGUGAGUAACACGUGGGAACGUGCCUUUAGGUUCGGAAUAACUCAGGGAAACUUGUGCUAAUACCGAAUGUGCCCUUCGGGGGAAAGAUUAAUCGCCUUUAGAGCGGCCCGCGUCUGAUUAGCUAGUUGGUUGAGGUAAUGGCUCACCAAGGCGACGAUCAGUAGCUGGUCUGAGAGGAUGAUCAGCCACAUUGGGACUGAGACACGGCCCAAACUCCUACGGGAGGCAGCAGUGGGGAAUCUUGCGCAAUGGGCGAAAGCCUGACGCAGCCAUGCCGCGUGAAUGAUGAAGGUCUUAGGAUUGUAAAAUUCUUUCACCGGGGACGAUAAUGACGGUACCCGGAGAAGAAGCCCCGGCUAACUUCGUG